AUGAACGCUGGCGGCGUGCCUAAUACAUGCCAGUCGAGCGAACAGAUGAGGAGCUUGCUCCUCUGACGUUAGCGGCGGACGGGUGAGUAACACGUGGAUAACCUACCUAUAAGACUGGGAUAACUUCGGGAAACCGGAGCUAAUACCGGAUAAUAUAUUGAACCGCAUGGUUCAAUAGUGAAAGACGGUUUUGCUGUCACUUAUAGAUGGAUCCGCGCCGCAUUAGCUAGUUGGUAAGGUAACGGCUUACCUAGGCAACGAUGCGUAGCCGACCUGAGAGGGUGAUCGGCCACACUGGAACUGAGACACGGUCCAGACUCCUACGGGAGGCAGCAGUAGGGAAUCUUCCGCAAUGGGCGAAAGCCUGACGGAGCAACGCCGCGUGAGUGAUGAAGGUCUUCGGAUCGUAAAACUCUGUUAUUAGGGAAGAACAAAUGUGUAAGUAACUAUGCACGUCUUGACGGUACCUAAUCAGAAAGCCACGGCUAACUACGUG
Molecule: ribosomal RNA, 496 nt
Filed under: uncultured bacterium
Lineage: Bacteria
Description: partial 16S ribosomal RNA
Rfam family: Bacterial small subunit ribosomal RNA
Source: RNAcentral